GACAAGGGGUGCUAAUUCUCCUAUUCAUCUGUAAUUCUGUAUCGCAGGUAAAUGCCAUGCUUGAGUGCAGGAUAUAGUUAGCACGAUUCUUGGAUACACAGUUAUAUGAAUUUGGAUACUCUUUAGAGGUUAGUAAUUUCACCAACCUACCUUGUAUCUUAAUACCAGCCUCUCUACCUCACCUUUGAAGAAGUUGUAUAGACUGUGUACACUAGUUAUGUUUGUUGUUGUUGAAUUGUAUCCUUGUUUUGGUCUUCCUCCACUUCAACCCCCUGCUUCAUUAUGCUUGAUUUUAAAUAUGAAUACUUUGUUUGCAGUGACUCUUUGUACAUAACAGGUCAUACGAGCAUUAAAACUUUAUGCAAAUUCCUCAAAGUAGACUUAAUUUUAAGAAAAAGAAACUUGAUGACGAAUAUUUUC
This 420-nucleotide long non-coding RNA is filed under the name Capsicum annuum. RNAcentral's name for it is "long non-coding RNA (CANN_LNC022605)". The record is from RNAcentral. Lineage: Eukaryota; Viridiplantae; Streptophyta; Magnoliopsida; Solanales; Solanaceae.